AGUCGAGCGAACAGAUGAGAAGCUUGCUUCUCUGAUGUUAGCGGCGGACGGGUGAGUAACACGUGGGUAACCUACCUAUAAGACUGGGAUAACUCCGGGAAACCGGGGCUAAUACCGGAUAAUAUUUUGAACCGCAUGGUUCAAUAGUGAAAGACGGUUUCGGCUGUCACUUAUAGAUGGACCCGCGCCGUAUUAGCUAGUUGGUAAGGUAACGGCUUACCAAGGCGACGAUACGUAGCCGACCUGAGAGGGUGAUCGGCCACACUGGAACUGAGACACGGUCCAGACUCCUACGGGAGGCAGCAGUAGGGAAUCUUCCGCAAUGGGCGAAAGCCUGACGGAGCAACGCCGCGUGAGUGAUGAAGGUCUUCGGAUCGUAAAACUCUGUUGUUAGGGAAGAACAAAUUUGUUAGUAACUGAACAAGUCUUGACGGUACCUAACCAGAAAGCCACGGCUAACUACGUGCCAGCAGCCGCGGUAAUACGUAGGUGGCAAGCGUUAUCCGGAAUUAUUGGGCGUAAAGCGCGCGUAGGCGGUUUCUUAAGUCUGAUGUGAAAGCCCACGGCUCAACCGUGGAGGGUCAUUGGAAACUGGGAAACUUGAGUGCAGAAGAGGAGAGUGGAAUUCCAUGUGUAGCGGUGAAAUGCGCAGAGAUAUGGAGGAACACCAGUGGCGAAGGCGGCUCUCUGGUCUGUAACUGACGCUGAUGUGCGAAAGCGUGGGGAUCAAACAGGAUUAGAUACCCUGGUAGUCCACGCCGUAAACGAUGAGUGCUAAGUGUUAGGGGGUUUCCGCCCC
This 799-nucleotide ribosomal RNA is filed under the name Mammaliicoccus sciuri. RNAcentral's name for it is "bacterial SSU rRNA". It matches the Rfam family "Bacterial small subunit ribosomal RNA", at positions 60 to 839 of the family's 1533-position model. Lineage: Bacteria; Bacillati; Bacillota; Bacilli; Caryophanales; Staphylococcaceae. The record is from RNAcentral.